UACAGGGGGGGCAAGCGUUGUUCGGAAUUACUGGGCGUAAAGGGUUCGUAGGUGGCCAACUUAGUCAGACGUGAAAUCCCUCAGCUUAACUGGGGAACUGCGUCUGAUACUGGAUGGCUUGAAUCCGGGAGAGGGAUGCAGAAUUCCAGGUGUAGCGGUGAAAUGCGUAGAUAUCUGGAGGAAUACCGGUGGCGAAGGCGGCAUCCUGGACCGGCAUUGACGCUGAUGAGCGAAAGCUAGGGGAGCAAACGGG
RNAcentral lists this ribosomal RNA (253 nucleotides) under uncultured bacterium. Its description in RNAcentral is "partial 16S ribosomal RNA". It matches the Rfam family "Bacterial small subunit ribosomal RNA", at positions 524 to 776 of the family's 1533-position model. The record is from RNAcentral.